UACGUAGGGUGCGAGCGUUGUCCGGAAUUACUGGGCGUAAAGAGCUCGUAGGUGGUUUGUCGCGUCGUCUGUGAAAUUCCGGGGCUUAACCUCGGGCGUGCAGGCGAUACGGGCAAUACUUGAGUGCUGUAGGGGAGACUGGAAUUCCUGGUGUAGCGGUGAAAUGCGCAGAGAUCAGGAGGAAUACCGAAGGCGAAGGCAGUCUUCCAAGCCGUUAUUGACGCUCAACUGCGAAGGUGUGGGUAUCAAACAGGAUUAGAUACCCGUGUA
Molecule: ribosomal RNA, 270 nt
Filed under: uncultured prokaryote
Description: partial 16S ribosomal RNA
Rfam family: Bacterial small subunit ribosomal RNA
Source: RNAcentral